CGCCCGGUGUCCGGUUCGCCGUCGUGACGUCACUCGCUGGACCGUCGGGGCGGGGGGCGCGCGCAAACACCGCGGCCAGCGGAGACUUUUUCCUCUUGAUUUUUCCUUUUCUUCUCCCUAAAAACACCCUCAUCGGCCCCAAAACACGCCGAGCGAGCCUCCCGGCGGCCGAGGAGCUCCGUCACCGACAGCAUCGCGGGCGAUCGGGCGCGCGGCCUCCACCGGAAAGUUUGUCUCCGCGGCUAACGGACUUCACGAGAGAGGGAUCCGGCACUCACCCGCGCGGAUAACGGAGAAAUAACGUCAAAUACCGUCAAAGUCUGCGUGUAAAUAUAAAUAGAGUGAAAGUCGGAGAGCCGCAGCGCCCCCGCCCGAGUCCUCCGGUAAACUCACGGUAAACUCACGGUAAACACACGGUAAACUCACGGUAAACACACCGGAGGAUCGGCACUCGGUGAAGGAUGGCCGCCUCAGUGAAGGUAGCGGUGAGAGUUCGGCCCUUUAACUCCCGCGAAACCAGCCGAGAUGCUAAAUGUGUCAUUCAGAUGCAGGGAAGCUCCACCUGCAUCUGGAACCCCAAACAGCCCAAAGAAGCAGCCAAGAACUUCAGCUUUGAUUAUUCGUACUGGUCUCACAGCUCGGUAAGAUCCUGCGCUACUGUUCACUGCUGCUGUCUGAGCUCCU
Sinocyclocheilus anshuiensis is the source of this 684-nucleotide long non-coding RNA. RefSeq lists it as uncharacterized. Lineage: Eukaryota; Metazoa; Chordata; Actinopteri; Cypriniformes; Cyprinidae. The record is from RefSeq and is a predicted model, not a curated record. The transcript is spliced from 3 exons.